AUGCAGCUCCCGAGCAGGCUCCCACGUGCCGAGUGGAACAGUCCACUUCUUCCCCCCUCCCCCCCAUCGGUUAGACGUCGCGUCCUAUCGCGCCAGCGCACGCGUGAGGCGUGUGAUUCUCAGCGAGGCUUGCGUCGGCGGCCGGGUAGCUCCCACAGAGCUAAGGCGGGUAGUGGGGAUCUCGCUGCUGCGCCGCUGCGUUGCAGGUCGAUGGCCGCCGCCGUACGGACCGGAGCCCAACGGCUGCCGGGACAUCGCCAUGCAGCGCCUGGCGUGCAGGCCGCGACGGAUGUGCGCGUGCGCGUGCGCGGCCCGGCUGAGUCAGGGCAGAACAGUGACUUGAGCUGCAAGCCUGGGCACUUGAGUAUAUCAGAAGAGUAA
This 381-nucleotide long non-coding RNA is filed under the name Crocodylus porosus (Australian saltwater crocodile). RNAcentral's name for it is "lncRNA (ENSCPRG00005008074.1)". The record is from RNAcentral. Lineage: Eukaryota; Metazoa; Chordata; Crocodylia; Crocodylidae.